This 207-nucleotide ribosomal RNA is filed under the name uncultured bacterium. Its description in RNAcentral is "partial 16S ribosomal RNA". It matches the Rfam family "Bacterial small subunit ribosomal RNA", at positions 568 to 774 of the family's 1533-position model. The record is from RNAcentral.
UGCGUAGGUGGUGAGGUAAGUCGGAUGUGAAAUCUCCAGGCUCAACCUGGAAAUGGCAUCGGAAACUACCUUGCUCGAGGUUUGGAGGGGGGACUGGAAUACUUGGUGUAGCAGUGAAAUGCGUAGAUAUCAAGUGGAACACCAGUGGCGAAGGCGAGUCCCUGGACAAAACCUGACACUGAGGCACGAAAGCUAGGGGAGCAAACA